AAAUUGAAGAGUUUGAUCAUGGCUCAGAUUGAACGCUGGCGGCAGGCCUAACACAUGCAAGUCGAACGGUAGCACAGAGAGCUUGCUCUCGGGUGACGAGUGGCGGACGGGUGAGUAAUGUCUGGGAAACUGCCUGAUGGAGGGGGAUAACUACUGGAAACGGUAGCUAAUACCGCAUAACGUCGCAAGACCAAAGAGGGGGACCUUCGGGCCUCUUGCCAUCAGAUGUGCCCAGAUGGGAUUAGCUUGUUGGUGAGGUAACGGCUCACCAAGGCGACGAUCCCUAGCUG
This 290-nucleotide ribosomal RNA is filed under the name Salmonella enterica subsp. enterica serovar Give. Its description in RNAcentral is "partial 16S ribosomal RNA". It matches the Rfam family "Bacterial small subunit ribosomal RNA", at positions 1 to 289 of the family's 1533-position model. Lineage: Bacteria; Pseudomonadati; Pseudomonadota; Gammaproteobacteria; Enterobacterales; Enterobacteriaceae. The record is from RNAcentral.